Molecule: long non-coding RNA, 588 nt
Filed under: Homo sapiens (human)
Lineage: Eukaryota; Metazoa; Chordata; Mammalia; Primates; Hominidae
Description: HSALNT0367776
Source: RNAcentral
AUGUCAGAGAAGCUAUGUUAGAGAUAUCUAACGGCCAACCAGCUCUGUCCAUGGAUAUCUACCCAGAUGUUGUUACUUCGUAGCAUGGCUCGGGUAUUAGUUCUCUCUGCAUCUGCGUGAGUUGCAGAAAGCUUCAUUUCGCUACUAAAAGGUUUCCUGAUUCCCUUAUCUAUCAGUAAGAGUAAGCCCAAUUCUAAAAAAUGUUUUUAGAAAAUUACUUUCAUCUCUGCAUGGCCUGGAAUUUGCUUGAGGACACCAUGAAUAGUAGGUCAUCACCACUACAUUUCAGGAAAGAGAGCCAAUGAGGGCCCAAUAUAAUCACAGGAGUCUUUAAAAGAGGAAGAGGGAAGCAGAAGACAACCAGAGAGAUAGCAGUGUGAGAAGGACUUGGCCCUACAUUGCUGGCUUUAAAGGUAGGAGUGAAGGCCAUAAGCCAGAGACUGUAGGUGACCUCUACAAUCAAUAAAAGGCAAAGAAGCACAUUCUUCCUUAGAGCCUCCAGAAGGAACACAGCCCUGUCAACAACUUGAUUUUAGACUAGUGAGACCCAUUUUGAACUUUUGUCCUCUAGAUCUUUAAAAUAAUAAA